CCCAGUGGUGGGGGAUAACUGCGGGAAACUGCAGCUAAUACCGCAUGAGCCCGAGAGGGGAAAGAUUUAUCGCCAUGGAGGAGCCCGCGUUCGAUUAGGUAGUUGGUGAGGUAACGGCUCACCAAGCCUACGAUCGAUAGCUGGUCUGAGAGGAUGAUCAGCCACACUGGGACUGAGAUACGGCCCAGACUCCUACGGGAGGCAGCAGUGGGGAAUAUUGGACAAUGGGGGCAACCCUGAUCCAGCAAUGCCGCGUGAGUGAUGAAGGCCUUCGGGUUGUAAAGCUCUUUUGCCAGGGACGAUGAUGACGGUACCUGGAGAAUAAGCCCCGGCUAACUUCGUGCCAGCAGCCGCGGUAAUACGAAGGGGGCAAGCGUUGUUCGGAAUUACUGGGCGUAAAGGGCGCGUAGGCGGCUUAUCAAGUCAGGCGUGAAAUUCCCGGGCUCAACCUGGGGGCUGCGUUUGAUACUGAUGAGCUUGAAUGCGGGAGAGGAUAGUGGAAUUCCCAGUGUAGAGGUGAAAUUCGUAGAUAUUGGGAAGAACACCGGUGGCGAAGGCGGCUAUCUGGCCCGUAAUUGACGCUGAGGCGCGAAAGCGUGGGGAGCAAACAGGAUUAGAUACCCUGGUAGUC
RNAcentral lists this ribosomal RNA (631 nucleotides) under uncultured bacterium. RNAcentral describes it as "bacterial SSU rRNA". It matches the Rfam family "Bacterial small subunit ribosomal RNA", at positions 129 to 795 of the family's 1533-position model. The record is from RNAcentral.